Molecule: unclassified non-coding RNA, 300 nt
Filed under: Glomeraceae sp.
Lineage: Eukaryota; Fungi; Glomeromycota; Glomeromycetes; Glomerales; Glomeraceae
Description: partial contains 5.8S ribosomal RNA and internal transcribed spacer 2
Rfam family: 5.8S ribosomal RNA (bases 1-71)
Source: RNAcentral
GUGAAUCAUCAAAUUUUUGAACGCAAAUUGCACUCCCUGGUAUUCCGGGGAGUAUGCCCGUUUGAGGGUCAGCCUAAAAAAAAUCGACAUCGUUGCUGUUUCGCGGUGGCGUUCGUCGGAAAUUGGGUUAUCUUAAACCUUUUGGUUUAAGCGACUUAAAAUUUUCUUUUUGAUUCCAUGAACGUGUUUCUAAGAUUUAUUUCUUUACACGUUUAAGGUAUCGAUUUUUACUAGACGUGACCAUCAUAUCGGAUCGCGUCCAUAAUCUUUCAUUAACUGACCUCCGACAGGUAAGAGUAC